GGGUGGCAUAACAUGUGGCAUAUUCAUGUGGCCGAAGCUUUAAGCCUUCUUCCUUGCUUUCUUGCACCUUGUGGUUAUUAGGACUCGUCAAGAACGUUAUUAGUGCUUUUCGCAUCUCCUUGGGCAACUGUAGUGCUUCUUUGAUGCUAAAGUGUGCCGGAAGGCUUUCUUUAGGCGUGACGGUCUUCUCUUCCUCGAUGGCGAUAACUUGGCAUUUUGAGGGCUAUUCUAUCUCUAUUUCAACCAUGUGACAUGCGUGGCUCUUACUCCAUGGGUUCCCCAACGUACGUUGGCUUAGCAGCUCUUAUGUCUCUUU
RNAcentral lists this long non-coding RNA (316 nucleotides) under Malus domestica (apple). RNAcentral's name for it is "long non-coding RNA (MDOM_LNC002707)". Lineage: Eukaryota; Viridiplantae; Streptophyta; Magnoliopsida; Rosales; Rosaceae. The record is from RNAcentral.